UCAGAACCAUGUUAGCAACACUGGCCAAACACGGCAGGUUGUCGUCAAAUGGUAUUGUAGGUAGGUGUUCCGUGGUGUAGGUGUUUUCGUCGCCGACGCUUCUUUUUGAGACACAACGAUGGAUGUCAAGGCCUGGGCCAUCUCCAUCGUUGAAUGGGCUGCCAAGAGUCCCGGCGAGUUCAUCUACUAUGUGCUGCUCUGCUUGUCCCCGUUCUUCCUCAUCAGCGCAUUUUUGUCCUGGAAACUAGCCAAGCACAUUGAGGCCGAGGAGAGGCGCAAGAAGCAGAAGUCCAAGAAGAAAGCCAACGUGGCUGAGACAAGGCGGACCAAGGUUGACUGACAGCCAACACAAGCGCUUGCAGUGAUUAGAGCAUACUGUGCUGAGCACAGAAAAUUUUCAACUCACUGACUGCACAGGGAUUUAUGUGCUUUUACAACUUGUUUGUGAGGGGAGCAUUCCAUAUGUGCACUGCUUUUUUUUUCAUUGGAAGCUUUUUUUUUUCCAACUGUGGUUCUCAUGGUUAUGUAAUAUAACAUGGUCGCAAAAGACAAAAAUAAAACCAAGUACCAUUUGCAUCGAA
Unclassified non-coding RNA from Rhipicephalus microplus (southern cattle tick), 581 nucleotides. Lineage: Eukaryota; Metazoa; Arthropoda; Arachnida; Ixodida; Ixodidae. The record is from RefSeq and is a predicted model, not a curated record.